CCCGGCACAAGCGGUGGAGCAUGUGGUUAAUUCGAAGCAACGCGAAGAACUUACCAGGCCUUGACAUGCAGAGAACUUCCAGAGAUGGAUUGGUGCCUUCGGGAACUCUGACACAGGUGCUGCAUGGCUGUCGUCAGCUCGUGCGUGAGAUGUUGGGUUAAGUCCCGUAACGAGCGCAACCCUUGUCCUUAGUUACCAGCACGUUAUGGUGGGCACUCUAAGGAGACUGCCGGUGACAAACCGGAGGAAGGUGGGGAUGACGUCAAGUCAUCAUGGCCCUUACGGCCUGGGCUACACACGUGCUACAAUGGUCGGUACAAAGGGUUGCCAAGCCGCGAGGUGGAGCUAAUCCCAUAAAACCGAUCGUAGUCCGGAUCGCAGUCUGCAACUCGACUGCGUGAAGUCGGAAUCGCUAGUAAUCGUGAAUCAGAAUGUCACGGUGAAUACGUUCCCGGGCCUU
This 460-nucleotide ribosomal RNA is filed under the name uncultured Pseudomonas sp. Its description in RNAcentral is "bacterial SSU rRNA". It matches the Rfam family "Bacterial small subunit ribosomal RNA", at positions 920 to 1382 of the family's 1533-position model. Lineage: Bacteria; Pseudomonadati; Pseudomonadota; Gammaproteobacteria; Pseudomonadales; Pseudomonadaceae. The record is from RNAcentral.